AGUGAACGCUGGCGGUAGGCCUAGCACAUGCAAGUCGAACGGCAGCACAGUAAGAGCUUGCUCUUACGGGUGGCGAGUGGCGGACGGGUGAGGAAUACAUCGGAAUCUACUUUUUCGUGGGGGAUAACGUAGGGAAACUUACGCUAAUACCGUAUACGACCUACGGGUGAAAGCAGUGGAUCUUCGGACCUUGCGCGAUUGAAUUAGCCGAUGUCGGAUUAGCUAGUUGGCGGGGUAAAGGCCCACCAAGGCGACGAUCCGUAGCUGGUCUGAGAGGAUGAUCGGCCACACUGGAACUGAGACACGGUCCAGACUCCUACGGGAGGCAGCAGUGGGGAAUAUUGGACAAUGGGCGCAAGCCUGAUCCAGCCAUACCGCGUGGGUGAAGAAGGCCUUCGGGUUGUAAAGCCCUUUUGUUGGGAAAGAAAAGCAGCAGGUUAAUACCCCGCUGUUCUGACGGUACCCAAAGAAUAAGCACCGGCUAACUUCGUG
RNAcentral lists this ribosomal RNA (492 nucleotides) under uncultured bacterium. RNAcentral describes it as "partial 16S ribosomal RNA". It matches the Rfam family "Bacterial small subunit ribosomal RNA", at positions 29 to 507 of the family's 1533-position model. The record is from RNAcentral.